RNAcentral lists this long non-coding RNA (270 nucleotides) under Lathyrus oleraceus (garden pea). Its description in RNAcentral is "Pisum sativum (pea) long non-coding RNA (PSAT_LNC007000)". The record is from RNAcentral. Lineage: Eukaryota; Viridiplantae; Streptophyta; Magnoliopsida; Fabales; Fabaceae.
AACAAUUUGAAUUGACCAUAAAAUCCCAUUUUUAUUCAUAAUAUUUGGAAGGAUUAUACUUAGUACAAUUUCAGAAUAGAAAAUGAAAAUAGCAUCCUAAGGAUCUGUAGCAACUGCAUCAGAUUAACUAGCUAUGAGCACGUACUUCCUUCGAAUGCGUUUGAUCUCAGACUCGUAGGCGGUGUUCAUAUGAGCUUUCUCGAUGACGAUCUGAUUGACGAUCUUCUUCCAAGCACCAGAAGAUUGAGGGAUUCUAUUGGAAAAUAAAUC